Molecule: non-coding RNA, 264 nt
Organism: Pelobates cultripes (western spadefoot toad)
Lineage: Eukaryota; Metazoa; Chordata; Amphibia; Anura; Pelobatidae
Source: the annotation of a GenBank genome assembly
GGAUGUGUAUAAGGUAACGCAGUAAAGGAAUUGAAGAAUGCUCGGGAUGUGUAUAAGGCUAACACAGUAAAGGAAUUGAAGAAUGCUCGGGAUGUGUAUAAGGCUAACACAGUAAAGGAAUUGAAGAAUGCUCGGGAUGUGUAUAAGGCUAACACAGUAAAGGAAUUGAAGAAUGCUCAGGAUGUGUAUAAGGUAACGCAGUAAAGGAAUUGAAGAAUGCUCAGGAUGUGUAUAAGGCUAACACAGUAAAGGAAUUGAAGAAUG